This 486-nucleotide ribosomal RNA is filed under the name bacterium enrichment culture clone 7. Its description in RNAcentral is "bacterial SSU rRNA". It matches the Rfam family "Bacterial small subunit ribosomal RNA", at positions 8 to 513 of the family's 1533-position model. The record is from RNAcentral.
AGAGUUUGAUCAUGGCUCAGGAUGAACGUUGGCGGUGUGCCUAAUACAUGCAAGUCGAACGGAGUUAGUAGCAAUACUGGCUCAGUGGCGAACGGGUGAGUAACGCGUUGGUGAUCUGCCUUGAAGUGUGGAAUAACGUUUCGAAAGGAACGCUAAUACCGCAUGUGCUCUCGAUUUUCAGAAAGUUGAGAGUAAAGGAUUUAUUCGCUUCAAGAGGAGCCUGCGUCCCAUCAGCUGGUUGGUAGGGUAACGGCCUACCAAGGCUAUGACGGGUAGGGGACCUGAGAGGGUGGCCCCCCACAAUGGAACUGAAACACGGUCCAUACACCUACGGGUGGCAGCAGUAGGGAAUAUUAGAAAUGGACGAAAGUCUGAUCUAGCAACACCGCGUGUGCGAAGAAGGCCUUCGGGUCGNUAAAGCACUUUUUGGAAGGAAUAGGAAGGAAUGUACUUCCAGAAUAAGUCUCGGCUAACUACGUGCCAGCA